This 110-nucleotide ribosomal RNA is filed under the name Candidatus Portnoybacteria bacterium RBG_13_40_8. Lineage: Bacteria; Candidatus Portnoyibacteriota. The record is from RNAcentral.
UAAGGGGGCCAUACCGGGGAUGCUCCACCUGAUCCCAUUCCGAACUCAGAAGUGAAAUUCCCCUAGGGUCAAUGGUAGUGCAUUAGCGCAAGAGUAGAUCGCUCCCUUAU